RNAcentral lists this ribosomal RNA (492 nucleotides) under uncultured bacterium. Its description in RNAcentral is "partial 16S ribosomal RNA". It matches the Rfam family "Bacterial small subunit ribosomal RNA", at positions 28 to 507 of the family's 1533-position model. The record is from RNAcentral.
GAUGAACGCUAGCUACAGGCUUAACACAUGCAAGUCGAGGGGAAACGACAUCGAAAGCUUGCUUUUGAUGGGCGUCGACCGGCGCACGGGUGAGUAACGCGUAUCCAACCUGCCCAUCACUUGGGGAUAACCUUGCGAAAGUAAGACUAAUACCCAAUGAUAUCUCUAGAAGACAUCUGAAAGAGAUUAAAGAUUUAUCGGUGAUGGAUGGGGAUGCGUCUGAUUAGCUUGUUGGCGGGGUAACGGCCCACCAAGGCAACGAUCAGUAGGGGUUCUGAGAGAAAGGUCCCCCACAUUGGAACUGAGACACGGUCCAAACUCCUACGGGAGGCAGCAGUGAGGAAUAUUGGUCAAUGGGCGAGAGCCUGAACCAGCCAAGUAGCGUGCAGGAAGACGGCCCUAUGGGUUGUAAACUGCUUUUAUAAGGGAAUAAAGUGAGAGUCGUGACUCUUUUUGUAUGUACCUUAUGAAUAAGGACCGGCUAAUUCCGUG